This is a long non-coding RNA of Pygocentrus nattereri (red-bellied piranha), 822 nucleotides long. RefSeq lists it as uncharacterized. The record is from RefSeq and is a predicted model, not a curated record. Lineage: Eukaryota; Metazoa; Chordata; Actinopteri; Characiformes; Serrasalmidae. The transcript is spliced from 4 exons.
CUAGAUUUACAGCAUCCUAGGGGGCUUAUCCUAAGACGAGGACAGGGCUUGUUCACACUCUGACAUCAACGUUUGAACGCAAGACUGCGAAUUCCAUCGAAGACUGCCCAAACAUCCUUCAGCCCUGUUAAGGUGCAUCUCGAGUUCAGCAAUACGUUUGCCAGCACACCCUCUGACUCCGAACCCGAAUGGGAUGGACCCGAAUGGGUUAGGCCUCACCCUACCAUCCCGGAACCAACGUUCAGGCUUAAAGGACCGUGGUUCAGGGAAGACCUUCUCAUCCUGACUGAUCGCGUAGUGGUAUAACACAAAUGUGGUUUGCUAGGACAACUGAAAUUCAAUUUACGUCAUUUUCCAUCAGCCAGGACAUAUUUUUUGUCUGAAGUUUUCUUCUUUGGUUUUGCACUGGAGCUCCAAGCCUAAUUACGCUAACAAGUAAUGGAUGCUUACAGCCCAGCUAGCAUCGUGAUCUCAAAUGCUUGAAUGUUGGCUGAUCGACUACAUUUGGAGCACGGGGAAAGGUACAUUUGUCUAUUUGCCUAUCAAAAACCUUGUUUUUUCUUUUUCUCCUUUUUACUCUACCUUAGAGUCUCCUUGAUGACGGAUUUAAGGUAGGGCAUGUUGUUUAUAUCUUCAGCUGUUGGAAUUCUGUCCCCCUUGAUGGUGCUGGCCACUUCCUGAUACAGUGUGUCCUGUUUUUCUGGAUCACGUGACAGCAGAUACAAGGCCCACAGCAUGGUGUUGGAGGUCUUAAUGCACAGUUACUGACUGUCCACCGGUCCGGCCCAAUACUGAUGGAUGUCCCACCCUCAAGUCCCCCUG